UUGACGGGGACCCGCACAAGUGGUGGAGCAUGUUGCUUAAUUCGACGGUACACGAAAAACCUUACCUAGACUUGACAUCUUGGGCGAAGCUAUAGAAAUAUAGUGGAGGUCAACCCAAUGACAGGUGGUGCAUGGUUGUCGUCAGCUCGUGUCGUGAGAUGUUGGGUUAAGUCCCGCAACGAGCGCAACCCUUAUCGUUAGUUACUUUGUCUAACGAGACUGCCAACGUAAGUUGGAGGAAGGUGGGGAUGACGUCAAAUCAUCAUGCCCCUUAUGUCUAGGGCUGCAAACGUGCUACAAUGGCCAAUACAAACAGUUGCAAAUCCGUAAGGUGGAGCUAAUCUGUAAAGUUGGUCUCGUUCGGAUUGAGGGCUCAAUUCGCCCUCAUGAAGUCGGAAUCACUAGUAAUCGCGA
Molecule: ribosomal RNA, 414 nt
Filed under: uncultured Mycoplasma sp.
Lineage: Bacteria; Bacillati; Mycoplasmatota; Mollicutes; Mycoplasmatales; Mycoplasmataceae
Description: bacterial SSU rRNA
Rfam family: Bacterial small subunit ribosomal RNA
Source: RNAcentral